Vidua chalybeata is the source of this 541-nucleotide long non-coding RNA. RefSeq lists it as uncharacterized. NCBI's taxonomy places the organism in Eukaryota, Metazoa, Chordata, Aves, Passeriformes, Viduidae. The transcript has 2 exons. The record is from RefSeq and is a predicted model, not a curated record.
GCGACCUUCCCCCCGUGAGCUCUGCUAUUCCCAAUUAUCGCUUGGUCUGGCACAGGAACCCAUAGCGACGACACGGGACUUGGGGAAUGGUGUUCUCCAAUUCUCCCACUAAAACCAUGAGCCACUGCCACUCCCCUCUGCUCCAGUUGGAGGCACAAAAGGUCAAAAUCAUCAGCUGAGACAAGAACGAUAUGCUGGAAACAGCAGCGUGAUAACAACAGUGACAGCAACAAUAUUAAUAACAAAAGGUAUGAGAAAAGAAAGGACUCCCACGGAAACCCCGUGACAACAAGCAAUACCAGACAACUUCCUCACCACAUUUGCUCAACUGGAAGGAAUGCCUUCUGCCCAGAAGGCAUUGUGAGUGAAGUGGUAUAGAAUAACCUCCAUAUCCUGGCAACACCUUCUCCUGGCUACUGCAAAAAUGAUCCCUGUCCUGACCUGAACUAGGACACCUGAACUAGGACAUACCUCUUUAAAAAGUCAGAACUCUACAAAUGACCCAGGGAUCAUAGAAAAUAAAAUGUUAUGGGCAAUUCUA